This 1169-nucleotide long non-coding RNA is filed under the name Pan troglodytes (chimpanzee). RNAcentral describes it as "lincRNA". The record is from RNAcentral. Lineage: Eukaryota; Metazoa; Chordata; Mammalia; Primates; Hominidae.
GCAGUGUGUGGUUGCUCAAGUUUAGCUACAAGGCCAUAUAAGAGUCCUUCCAAGAGGAGGAUGGGGCGAACUUUCCAGCUAGAGUUUGACCUAAGGAAGGAUUUCAAAACUUACCCCUGCAAUGCUUUAACAGCAUUCAAGUCAAAUGGAGGCUUUUCAUACAGUGAAAUCCACAGUAGCUCUCUGUGGUAUGUAGGGCUACCAGCCAGAUAUACCUGAAAGCAAGCGCUUGCCUUGCUCUCCCUCUGCCACAGAACGAUGACACAGGGAUAACAAAGGGAAAUACCAGGGAAUGUCAAGUCAAACAAAUCGUAGAUCUUCUCUGGCGGCUUCUUUGACCUUGUUCUGAGUGAACACCGUGUACAUCAAGGAAGAUAAUUACAACUUUUUCAAGUCUUCUAAAAUCGAACUCCCUAUGGUGGCGACCAGUAUCUUCAAACUCAUACCAGAGUAAAGCCUUAUCCAUUUGGAGUUCUUUCUGAUGCAUUAUGUGAGAAAAACAAGCAAACAAAUGAACACUUAUUUGUAUUGGAAUUGCACUAAAUUUAUACAUGAAACUGAAAAAAACUGAUAUCUUUAUGAAGCUGCAUAAUCCUAUCCAAGGACAGACGUCUCCUUCCAUUUGCUUUUGCUUUACUAAUUUGAAUCUAUGUUAUUUGUUUUGGAUACAUCUGGAAUUGACUUUUUUGCAUGAUGUAAGAGCCAGCUCUUCUUCAGGAUAAGCAUGCCUGGUUUCUUCAACUUAUUCCACAAGAGUGAACAAGUAAGAAAUAACAGUUCUUCCUGGAUCAGCCCUCUCCCGUCUGUCAUCUCCAACAGAUACAAAGCCAGCUUUAAGAAGACCAAACCUACAAAAAUCAUUCAUGCUUUCUGCCUCCAUGUUUUUCUUUCCAACCUAGUUCCUCCAGAAAAUGUAAAAGAGCAACCGAACCGUCAACUGGUACAAUGACUUCUACACGUCAGACCUCGGCCACGCCACAGUCAUCAGAUUAUUCUAUCACAGGGUCUCUCAACCGUGGAAUAUGGUCUCCAAGGGAAACAAGCCAGAGAGGGCUCAGGAGCACUGCUAUAAAGAGUAGGCAAAUGGAAAUCUUUCCCCAAAGGGCACACUGGGAUUGUUAGGCGAGGGCUGCUCAAUCCAUUAAAAGUUUAAACUCGAAAAAAAAAAA